UGGGGAAUAUUGGACAAUGGGCGAAAGCCUGAUCCAGCCAUGCCGCGUGAGUGAUGAAGGCCCUAGGGUUGUAAAGCUCUUUUUGUGCGGGAAGAUAAUGACGGUACCGCAAGAAUAAGCCCCGGCUAACUUCGUGCCGGCAGCCGCGGUAAUACGAAGGGGGCUAGCGUUGCUCGGAAUCACUGGGCGUAAAGGGUGCGUAGGCGGGUCUUUAAGUCAGAGGUGAAACCCUGGAGCUCAACUCCAGAACUGCCUUUGAUACUGAGGAUCUUGAGUUCGGGAGAGGUGAGUGGAACUGCGAGUGUAGAGGUGAAAUUCGUAGAUAUUCGCAAGAACACCAGUGGCGAAGGCGGCUCACUGGCCCGAUACUGACGCUGAGGCACGAAAGCGUGGGGAGCAAACAGGAUUAGAUACCCAAGUAGUCCCUGAGCGGGCUGGCAAGGCGCAU
Molecule: ribosomal RNA, 448 nt
Filed under: uncultured bacterium
Lineage: Bacteria
Description: bacterial SSU rRNA
Rfam family: Bacterial small subunit ribosomal RNA
Source: RNAcentral